UGAACAAGGAUGAGCUCAGAAUGAAAAUCGGGGCCUAUGGCUUUGAAUUGUAGUCUUGAGAUGUGUUGCCAGCGGAGGCGCAUAUGUAAGCCUCUUGGAAAAGAGCACCAACGAGGGUGAUAGUCCCGUUUGUCAUCUGCAGCCCCCCGUGUACGGCGCAUAUUCUAAGAGUCGCGUUCCUCGGGAUUGGAGCGUAAAUGGGUGGUAAAUUUCAUCUGAAGCUAAAUAUUGGUUCGAGACCGAUAGCAAACAAGUCCCAUGAGGGAAAGGUGAAAAGGACUUUGAAAAGAGAGUUAAAAGUGCCUGAAAUUGCUGAGAGGGAAGCGAAUGGAACCAGCUUUGCUUGGCGAGAUUGUUGCAUGCUACAGCUAUGGCUUGCUAUGGCAACGUAAGUGCCCUAGCUUGCCACCAACUUGAUGCAUGCGGUGGUUCUUGCUCUGUGUGUCAGCUUUGACGCAGACUUGAUGAAAACUGUAGGGUCAAGGUAGCUCGUCUCCGGGUGAGUGAAUGUCCCUGCAAGAAAUCACGUGUGCGCUUGACAUGGCGUGCCUCAUUUGGUAAGCCACAAGAUUGAUGACAAAAUGGUUCCACACGACCCGUCUUGAAACACGGACCAAGGAGUCUAGCGUAUGUGCAAGUUCACGGGUGUCAAACCUGUUUGCGUAAUGAAAGUGACUGCUGGGAUUUCUGCACCAGCAACCGACCAAUCAAUUGAGAGAGGUUUGAGUAUGAGCAUAUCUGUUAGGACCCGAAAGAUGGUGAACUAUGCCUGAGAAGGGCAAACUCAGGGGAAACUCUGAUGGAGGCUCGUAGCGAUACUGACGUGCAAAUCGUUCGUCAUACUUGGGUAUAGGGGCGAAAGACUAAUCGAACCAUCUAGUAGCUGGUUCCCUCCGAAGUUUCCCUCAGGAUAGCUGGAGUUGAACAGUUUUAUCAGGUAAAGCGAAUGAUUAGAGGAAUCGGGGGCUCGUUGUCCUCGACCUAUUCUCAAACUUUAAAUGGGUAAGAUCUAGUGGUUACUUUGUUGAACUUCUGGGAUAAAUGACAACUCUAAGUGGGCCAUUUUUGGUAAGCAGAACUGGCGAUGAGGGAUGAACCUAACGCUGGGUUAAAGUGCUUAACUGCUCGCUCAUCAGAUACCACAAAGGGUGUUGGUUCAUUUUAACAGCA
RNAcentral lists this ribosomal RNA (1170 nucleotides) under Torquentidium convolutum. RNAcentral's name for it is "partial large subunit ribosomal RNA". It matches the Rfam family "Eukaryotic large subunit ribosomal RNA", at positions 94 to 1242 of the family's 3401-position model. Lineage: Eukaryota; Dinophyceae; Gymnodiniales; Ceratoperidiniaeceae. The record is from RNAcentral.